GCUAUAUUUUUUACUGUAUGUUACAGUAGUUCAGGAGAGUACUGUACCUUGUUUUGAGCAGAUCAUCGGGAAUAUUUAUACAGCAGGAAUAGUUGAUGCGAGAUGACUCAUAAUCUUUUUUACUUCUAGUGUCCAAGACAAGAACAUCAUUCUGAUCAUUAUUAAGAAGUUGAUAUAAAGCAACAGGAUCAAUUGUCGGCGAGGUUGUCGAUUUUAUUGGAGGUUGGCUGAAUGGAUCUGUGUCGAGAAAAAUGAAGUUGUACCGU
Molecule: non-coding RNA, 266 nt
Organism: Paramuricea clavata
Lineage: Eukaryota; Metazoa; Cnidaria; Anthozoa; Malacalcyonacea; Plexauridae
Source: the annotation of a GenBank genome assembly